Long non-coding RNA from Phyllopteryx taeniolatus (common seadragon), 642 nucleotides. RefSeq lists it as uncharacterized. The transcript has 3 exons. The record is from RefSeq and is a predicted model, not a curated record. Lineage: Eukaryota; Metazoa; Chordata; Actinopteri; Syngnathiformes; Syngnathidae.
GCUGACUUCGCCAGAGAGCAGCGAGUGUGUGAGAGAAGAAGAAUCGGUCACGCUUGGAGUGAGAUGCUGCCUAAUGGACCAGAGUCCUGCACUGAGUAACUGUGAGUGCCCAGCGAAGGCCAGGGGACGUCGGUCGUGAGAGACUGAAAUUCCCAGGACCUUGAAGAUCUCAACAGUUGGCACAGGGCAGUUGGACAGCGUGAGGGGCAGCUGUGGCGAAGGAUGCCUCCUGAAGUCCAAAAUCAUCUCUACAGUCUUGAGCGUGCUCAGCUCCAGGUUGUGUCUGCCGCACCACAACUCCGCUCCAUUGUCUGUCGAAACAGCAGUCGUAUCUCAAGUUUGUACUCGCUAGUCAAAGCAAGAACUUGGUCAAUGGACAGGUCGUAUCUCAAAGAACUCGUGUGUGACAAUUAAGAAUCUCCAAAAGUGAGAUGCGAGAGGUACAUCUGCGACAUGACUCACCUUUGCAUUACGCAUUUGUCAUUUGAACUGUUUGCAUUUGUGAAGCGUACUACUAAACACUUGCAUAACAGUUUUUAUAAAGGAAUGUUAAAAUGCUGCCCGUAAAUAUUUAAAGGUUUUAUUGAUGGCAACAGUUUUAAUGUUUGGAUAUCAUAUUGAAGGAAUGGAUUAUGAAUGACG